UACGUAGGGUGCAAGCGUUAAUCGGAAUUAUUGGGCGUAAAGCGUGCGCAGGCGGUUUUGUAAGUCUGUCGUGAAAUCCCCGGGCUUAACCUGGGAAUGGCGAUGGAGACUGCAAGGCUAGAGUUUGGCAGAGGGGGGUAGAAUUCCACGUGUAGCAGUGAAAUGCGUAGAGAUGUGGAGGAACACCGAUGGCGAAGGCAGCCCCCUGGGUCAAAACUGACGCUCAUGCACGGAAGCGUGGGGAGCAAACAGG
RNAcentral lists this ribosomal RNA (253 nucleotides) under uncultured bacterium. Its description in RNAcentral is "partial 16S ribosomal RNA". It matches the Rfam family "Bacterial small subunit ribosomal RNA", at positions 524 to 776 of the family's 1533-position model. The record is from RNAcentral.